AGAAACACCUGCCAUCAUGAUCACGAAGGAGGUUUUCCCAGGGUGAGGCUCAUCCAUUGCACUGUGGGUGUGCUGACCCCUGCGAUUUCCCCAAAUGCGGGAAACUCGACUGCAUAAUUUGUGGUGGCGCAGAGCCCCUGGUGGUGCAGUGGUAAAACUGCC
Small nuclear RNA from Hemicordylus capensis (graceful crag lizard), 162 nucleotides. RefSeq annotates it as U1 spliceosomal RNA. The transcript has a single exon. The record is from RefSeq and is a predicted model, not a curated record. NCBI's taxonomy places the organism in Eukaryota, Metazoa, Chordata, Lepidosauria, Squamata, Cordylidae.